CCGCACCGAGUCGCUGACAUCCGGGCCCCACCCGUCAGGGGUCACCCCUAACCUCCCGCCCGCAUCGCGCGGGAUGCGCCCGCCGCCGUCGAUCCGGUCCCAGCGCGCGUCCCGAGGUUCCCCGCGGUCAGCGGUCUAUAAAGGCUUUUCCCGGCGCGCCGCACCCCUGUCUAACCCUAGGAGGACCAGCCGCGGUCUCUCGUGCCCUAGCCGCCGCCGCCAUAGCUGCCAUCGUCGAGCUUGGAGCCGCCGCCGUCGAUCUCCGUGCUCGCUGCGUCUCGGCCGAGAAGGAGGCCGCCAUGAGGUUCGCUGCAAGGUAAGGAAUUCACCGGACCUUCUCCCGCCCUCUCUCUCUGUUCCUAUCGCGAAGACGAGCUCGCCGUAGUUCCAUCGCCGGCGUCGAGCCGCCCCUCCGCGCAGCCCGUCCUUCCCAGCCUCUCCCUCGCGCGGCAAGCACGCGCAUCACGCUCGCCUUGGCGUGCGCAGCACGUUGGUGCCCUCAGCACACCUCGCCUCGCCCUGCAGCACCGCUCCAGCGAGCUCCGCAUCCGCGGCCAUGGCCGCCGCCGCGGCCAGGCGCCCCCCACCUUACCGCGCUCUCGCCCGAUCCCAGCCGCGACCAGUGGGCUCCUCCACGCUGCAGCUGCGUGCCGCGCCGUGCACGAGGCGGCCAAGGUUCUGCCGAGCCUUUCCUUCCCACGCGAAGCACCAACAGAGCCCCGGUUUCGUCCGUACGGAAGCUCAAGGUAGAAGAAGACAUAUUUACAAGUUUGCCACUCGUCAUUAAUCCUUCACCAUUUAAUCGUUCUAACUCUGUUUCAUUCCGUUUCAAUUGCGUUAGUUUCGUAACGUCGCGCUCUACGCAGUAGUACUAACUUUUAUUAUGUCAUAUUUUUUUUUCAUAUUUAAUUGAAUAUUAGAUUAAUAAAUAUAUGCACCUAAUUUUAUAAUUAAAAGCAAUAUAGAGUUAUAAUCAUGUUUUCUAUUGUUUUAUGACCAUGGCAACGUAAAUGACUUAUUAGCGAUACUGUUUUCCAUGUCCCAUAUUUAUAAAUAUAAUUAGUUUAAUUAAUUUUUUUUUUGAGUGUCAUUUUUUAAUUAAAAAAACAAUUUAGGUUUACACUUCGGUAUUUUUAUAAUCUAAUAUUAACUUGAUUGAAGUUAACUUAAAUAUUUAUUAAUUAUAAUUCUUUUAGUUAGACAUAAAGUAUAUAAUUAAUUUGUUUAAUAUUUAUUUAAUGUCUUUUUGAUUAAAAGUAACCUAUGUUUAUAAUUUAGAUCUUUUAUAAAUAAAUAAAUGUUAACAUUAUUAAUAUCAACUUAAAUGGUUCUUUAUUAGUUAUAACUUGUUUAAUAUACAUGCGACGCAUGUUAGGAUUUGAUUAGCUGCUCUUACUUGCUUUAUGUUUUCUAAAAUUACAAAGGCGUAAAUGGCUUAAAUGAUAUAUAACCAUCUACAAUUAAAAUAUGACUAAAGUUUAACUCCACCUUUUAUAAUUCUUUAUAAUUUGGUCAAUUCAACUUUGAGAUAUUUCUCUAAAAGUCUAUCACCUUCUUUUAUUAAAUAAAAUACGACCAGCGUAUAGUCGUCUUCUCCGUUACACUCCGAACCUCGAAAGUCGUGUCCGUUUAACGAUAGCUCCGUUCUCAAUCGUUCUUGCGUUGUCACGAUCGUAGCAAUAAGUCGUGUCGUUUAGUGCGCUCUUUCUAAGCUUUUCUUUUGAUUGAUGCUUGUUCUUAGUCAUGAUUGUUUGUUUGUCUGUUUGUGUUGCUUGGUUGCUACGAGUAGAAGAAGCGUGGUUCGUCAGCAUUGAAGAUCAGGCGCUGAGGACCGAUAAUCGAAGCAGAAGUUGGAGAUCAGAAGAAAGAAGCCAAAGAAUUCUGAGCAGAUAAACACUGGGAAUUAAGGCAAGUGCAGACACCCUUUGAUCAUAUUGUACCUAUAAACUUUAAAUACAUUUACUUUCCAUUGCAUGUGUCUUAAUACUGCAAACCCUAAGGACAUGACUAGUCUUCUACUAUAUUUUUUGUAUACCUGGGUUUAUAUAUGGGUAGUAUAGUGAACAGUAGAUAUGCUUAGUUGCUCUACUCAUCUAAUCUAUAUAAUAAUAAUAAUAAUGAUCUUGCUUAAUGAAUUCUUCAAUGAUGAUAAAUGAUUAAAUGGUGAACAAUGGUCACUUCGGUGAUGGAGAUGUUGCGGUGCUUGCGAGCAUCGUGGUUUGGUUGAGGAUAGGGGGAGCGGGUACUGUUGGUGGUCCGGUUUGCCGGGCGUACCCGUCUCUGCUCUCCGUAAGGACUUAGUCAGGGAGCGGCCCCCUGGGACUUACAGUGCAGCUCCAAGCUAUAUGGCUUUGGCUUGACUAAUUAUCAGGACCUCCGCUGGUAGGGUGUUACUUUCCGGGUAGGCGUAAGGAAUGUAGCUUGGGUAUUCAUAUUAAGAGGUCGGUCAGUUCGGGGUCCCAUUGCUAUGGGCACGGCUGCCGCGCGCCCCGGCAAAAACUUACGAGUGGCAUCCUAUUAGUUGGACCCUGUGAAAGGUCUCGUAGUGAAACCCUGCCUGCUCACCUUGGUAGUGUUUUGGGGAGUCGCGACCCCGGGCGAAUGGGAAUCACGACUUGGAGUGAACGUGCACACCUCUGCAGAGUGUAAAACUGAUAUAUCAGCCGUGCUCACGGUCACGAGCGGCCCAGACCCUCACUUGAUGAGCAAAUUGGAAUCACAUGGAACUUGGAGGCGGAACUUGGUUGAGGUUGCUACCUCGUGCUUUGGCGGAAUGGCUAUUCCGUGUUGGCAGGAUGGCUAUCCUGUGUUCUUAAUUGGGAUUGCUAUCUCUUGACCUUAAAGGGGUUGCUACCCCGAGUUACUAUCCGAGGUUGCUACCUCGGUGAUCUUAAUAAUAAUAGUAAUUAUAAUGAUGACUAAUAAUAUUGCUAAUUAACCUUCAUCUAAAUAAGGGUUGGGAUGCUCUACUCACAAAUAGUAAUAGGUUGUUUAAUAAUAAAGUUGUAAUAAAAGUUUACCAACUAAAAAGCUCACCUGCAGUCAAACAGUGUCAACUUUUCCUUUGAUUAAGCCUUGCAUGUCAUUAUACUUUCCGCCUGUACUUGUUGAGUUCGACAUGAACUCACCCUUGCUAUUUCCUCCACACCCCAGUGUGUAGUAAAGUGUUGCUCAGAAGAAGGACAUAGAUGCUAUGGAGUUUUCUAGAAGCUUAUCAGAAGUGCUUGGCGUACGGAGCCCCCAGUCAACCGUCCCUGAGAAGAUUGGAGCCUAAGAAGUUUAGCUACUGUUUCCGCGUACUCUGAUGAUUGUAAGUGUUAAUAUAAAUAUGUUUUCCGC
Molecule: long non-coding RNA, 3339 nt
Filed under: Sorghum bicolor (sorghum)
Lineage: Eukaryota; Viridiplantae; Streptophyta; Magnoliopsida; Poales; Poaceae
Description: long non-coding RNA (SBIC_LNC001466)
Source: RNAcentral